This is a long non-coding RNA of Pseudopipra pipra, 412 nucleotides long. RefSeq lists it as uncharacterized. Lineage: Eukaryota; Metazoa; Chordata; Aves; Passeriformes; Pipridae. The record is from RefSeq and is a predicted model, not a curated record. The transcript has 3 exons.
GCAGUUAAAUGGUUUGCCUUCUUCAAAAUAUACCAUUUUCCUGUAACAUGUCUGGAAAGAGAGAAGGGAAUCCUAUUGUCAUUCCCAUUGGUGAAAGUCAAAUGUAAGGAUCUGGAUGACAUCCAGUAACAGAACUAAAACCAGUCCUGUGUCAAGACAGUGUAACCACCAGGGGAUUGCAGAUGCCAAGCACAGGACAUAAAGAUGAAUGAACUGAAUACUCUGGCAUCUCCUUUGUUGGCUAUCUGGGCUGUGGAUUCAGGUAUGCAGGAGAAAACAAGUCUACCUGUUUGGUUGCUCGUUCCUUGCAGGAUGUCCAUGGAGGAUAGCAUAUCCAAAGCUCUUAUAAGGAGAUGAAAACCAUGGGCUGGAUUUACUGAGGUCUUCUGCCUUCUUGGGAGCAAACACAGAC